Molecule: RNA transcript, 352 nt
Organism: Oncorhynchus keta (chum salmon)
Lineage: Eukaryota; Metazoa; Chordata; Actinopteri; Salmoniformes; Salmonidae
Exons: 3
Source: RefSeq, a predicted model, not a curated record
UCGAGGGCUUCCUGAAGAAAAGGAAAGAUACAAUGAAAAUGAAGUGGUCAACCUAUUGGUUCAGGCUCCAAAACACAACAUUAUUCUUCUACACUAAGAAACAUGGGAGUGCUUCACACCUAAGAGGCCUGUACUACAUCUACACUGUAAGUCAAACUGAUUUGAUUUGGUCUGAAAGCCUUCCUGGUCCUUCUAGCCAGACAGACAGGAACAAUUGCCCUGGACUUUGUUCUACUUUCCCUUGUGUUCAAUGAGCAUUACCCACUAUUCCAUAUGCCCUAGUUACAGCUGCUUAAUAGUAUACUAUUUACAAGUAUGUAUAGCACUUUAUGUCUGAAAUAGAAGUGUUGUU